Molecule: long non-coding RNA, 1275 nt
Organism: Pungitius pungitius (ninespine stickleback)
Lineage: Eukaryota; Metazoa; Chordata; Actinopteri; Perciformes; Gasterosteidae
Exons: 4
Source: RefSeq, a predicted model, not a curated record
UCCGAAAAGCCUUCUCUUCUUCUUUGUUCUCCUCUUCACUUUGACUAGGAGGGUCAGGUAACACAGCAUGGACCCUGUCACUGGCCAUUUCUGUCAUAUGAUUGGCACCUGCUGUGGUCAGCAGAAAAAAGCAACAGGAAAAAGAAACCUUGUGAUUCGCUGGACUUUGAAGCCAACAAAACAAACUGCAGCUGGUCCCACUGUGAACAUUUGUCUCAUUUAGUACUUCUAAGAACAUGAGCAAACGCAGCGAAAUGAUUCAACACAAAGUCAGCAUUAAAACUUCUGAUCAGAUGUUGAGUUUUGGAUGAAUGCAAAGAGUUCAUAAAGAAAUGCAUGAAUAACAAGAGAGUGACAAGGUGGUAUGUACUAACAUUCCUAGAAUUAAAAAAAAAUAAUAAUAAUACUAAUUACACAUUUGGUAACAUAUAACCUGCCUUACAAAAUUAAUUCUUUAAAAUGCACCCUGCAGUGUCACUGACUCCGUCUUCACUGAAACAGAUAUCUGAUCUUGCUUUAACUUGUCUUUUGCUUUCCUAUUCUGAACCAAAAAGAUGCGCAGAUGGCCCACAGUUACAGAUAAGUGCAGGUGGAAUAGUUUUAGCUAAUGAGUACGUGAAUUAUACCAGCGGUCACUGAGGUCACUAUGGUGAUUAAGAUGCUUAUUGAGCAUUCAACUUUAUGGAGACUGCUCUUUGUAUGCUGCCUUGCUGCCUGAGGUCUUUCAGCAGUAGUUUAUUGCUCUUUCCUCUCCAUGUUCUGCCAGCUUCCUGCCAGCUUCCUGCCAGCUUCCUGUGUCUGUCCGGAGCAGGGGCUGCUAUUCAAGCGCUGACCCCCAUUGUAAGCUACUCCUCGCAAAUACCAGUGAAGGACAUCCUGGAAUGGACACAGUCCACCGCUGAAGGUCCAGAUGCGUCGGACACAGCCAGGGGCCCACUGCACUGCUUUUGAGGUGUAGAGAUUGUUCGAGGAUGUUUGCAGCAGCUGACUGUGAGGCAGCACCAACGGAUACUAAUCUGCAGAGGGAGCCACAGAGAGCUUUUCUCUCACUGUCCUGACUGCACGUCCCGUGUCCAACCAAUCUACAUGUUUUAGCGUUGCUUUACACUUUCAAUGCUUUUUAAAACUUUUGAUGGCACAUUUGAAUCAAAUGAAUUUAAUGCAUUACCAAGAAGCUACUUCUCUCAUUAAAUGUUUUUCUCCUACACAUUUAUCGACAGGGUUUUUUCUGUGCUACCUGCUUAGUUUUAUCUUGCAGUGUUGCAAACUUUUGUU